ACACGUAGGUGACUUGCCCCGAAGAUGGGGAUAACCUCUGGAAACGGGGGCUAAUACCCAAUGUGCUCGGUGAUUCGGUUGAUCGAGUAAAGCUCCGGCGCUUCGGGAGAGGCCUGCGGCCCAUCAGCUAGUUGGUAGGGUAACGGCCUACCAAGGCAGAGACGGGUAGGGGGCGUGAGAGCGCGGACCCCCACACUGGCACUGCGACACGGGCCAGACUCCUACGGGAGGCAGCAGUAAGGAAUAUUGCGCAAUGGACGAAAGUCAGACGCAGCGACGCCGCGUGGGCGAUGAAGGCCUUCGGGUUGUAAAGCCCUUUUAUGGGGGAAGAGAAAAAGGACGGUACCCCAUGAAUAAGUCCCGGCUAACUACGUGCCAGCAGCCGCGGUAAAACGUAGGGGACGAGCGUUAUCCGGAUUCACUAGGCGUAAAGAGCGUUGAGGCGGUUCCGUAAGUUGGGCGUGAAAGCUCCGGGCUUAACCCGGAGAUGUCGUUCAAUACUGCGGGGCUUGAGGACAGCAGAGGAAGGUGGAAUUCCCGGUGUAGUGGUGAAAUGCGUAGAUAUCGGGAGGAACACCCGUGGCGAAGGCGGCCUUCUGGGCUGUUCCUGACGCUGAAGGCGAAAGCUAGGGGAGCGAACGGGAUUAGAUACCCCGGUAGUCCUAGCUGUAAACGAUGGAUGCUGGGUGUGGGGGGUGUAAAUUCCCUCUGUGCCGAAGCAAACGCGUUAAGCAUCCCGCCUGGGGACUACGGCCGCAAGGCUAAAACUCAAACGAAUUGACGGGGGCCCGCACAAGCAGCGGAGCGUGUGGUUUAAUUCGAUGCUACACGAAGAACCUUACCUGGGUUUGACAUGCACGUGGUAGGGAACCGAAAGGGGACCGACCUUCGGGAGCGUGCACAGGUGCUGCAUGGCUGUCGUCAGCUCGUGCUGUGAGCGUGGGGUUAAGUCCGGUAAAGAGCGCAACCCUUGCCCUUAGUUACAAGUGUCUAAGGGGACUGCCCGGGACAAUUGGGAGGAAGGUGGGGAUGAUGUCAAGUCAGCAUGUCCUUUAUAUCCA
RNAcentral lists this ribosomal RNA (1061 nucleotides) under uncultured organism. Its description in RNAcentral is "bacterial SSU rRNA". It matches the Rfam family "Bacterial small subunit ribosomal RNA", at positions 113 to 1210 of the family's 1533-position model. The record is from RNAcentral.